Molecule: long non-coding RNA, 638 nt
Filed under: Nicotiana benthamiana
Lineage: Eukaryota; Viridiplantae; Streptophyta; Magnoliopsida; Solanales; Solanaceae
Description: long non-coding RNA (NBEN_LNC017052)
Source: RNAcentral
GGUGUACCAAAAAGAUAUCAAAGAAAAGAAAUGUUCUUCAAAUGUACAAAAUCAAACUCACUUCCCUCAAACGCUCUCUUAUUUCUCUCACUCCGCACAACUCAUAUUAAAACCAACGGAGCAAUAUCCUACGCUCUAUGUCUUCUCCUCUUCCGUCUUCUAAAUGCCUAGCUGAAUUGACCAUCCUUCAUUCUACUCAGCAUGGUCCACACUAACCCAAACCAUCUCAAAAUCUCCCACCAUAAUCAGAAUGCCAUCUCACAAUAGAAGGUGAUCCACAACCUCUCAAAUUCGUGCACGUGAAACACCAACUAACAUAGGAGGCGUCCUCUAACUCAAAUUCUUGCCAGUCAAAAUCGCUCCUCUAGCCGCCAACCAUACAGACCUCUAUAGGUGCCCUUGGGAUCCAUCCUCCUCUAACUCAAAUUUUUGGCAGUCAAAAUCGCUCCUCCAGCCGCCAACCAUACAGACGUCUAUAGGUGCCCUUGGGAUCCAUAUUGAUUAGUGUAGGAAGACUAAAUUAUAAGGUAAACAAUUUUUAUUACUGAUGGAAAGCCCUGUAUACAAGCAAAUUAAAGAUUUUGAACAAAAAAUUGGUCUUGCAAUCAUACAAGACUCCAGAAUUCUUGAGAAAUCCC